AGGGGGAUUGGGUCAGCCAUCUCCCCUACCCAUUUUCGUUGGAGAACAGGAGGAGGAAGAGAGGAGACGCGACCUCCUUGAGCCACCACCAAAUUUCCAUCACCGGCGCCGAUUCCGGCGGUUUUCGGUGACAAAACUUACAUCAAUCUCUUCCUCUUCUCAUGGGCGUUCUGUUGAUACUAGUUCCAUAAUUUAUUUUCACUUGUGUGCAACAAAUCGAAGGAGAGAAGAUUUGAAAGUUUGUGCCUUAUUUUCUGAUUUCCGGCCAAACCAUGGAGAAUUUGGAGAAACCCCUAGGUAAUCCGGUUGAGCAAGCUUCCGAAGACAUUCCCGAGAUGGAACUCAACUAGGCACCCUUCAUUGUUAGCAUUGCAGAGGUAGAAUCAAUAUCCACGUCAAAGGCAUGCAUCCACUUGAUCUUCUGACAUCAGUCGUAUAGUUUACUUAGUAAUAGUUCUUAUGUUAAUUAGAGGAGCUUUGAGAUACCAUAAGUAAAUUGAGGUCUAUUGAAAUUGCAUGUAAAUAUUGGACGAGGCACUUAGUGAAAGUUUAUUUUGUGAGAGACAAGAGGUCAU
Molecule: long non-coding RNA, 575 nt
Organism: Rosa chinensis
Lineage: Eukaryota; Viridiplantae; Streptophyta; Magnoliopsida; Rosales; Rosaceae
Exons: 3
Source: RefSeq, a predicted model, not a curated record